CCCGGAUUGCAGCAUUGUCUGAGCUCAUUUUUUUGGUUCCGGCGGCGGCUUCGCCGCCGCCGGAACCAAAAAAAUAGCGAGUGCGGAAAGCCGGAAAUGUG
This 101-nucleotide unclassified non-coding RNA is filed under the name Chryseobacterium profundimaris. RNAcentral describes it as "Flavo-1 RNA". The record is from RNAcentral. Lineage: Bacteria; Pseudomonadati; Bacteroidota; Flavobacteriia; Flavobacteriales; Weeksellaceae.